AAUAUUGGACAAUGGGGGCAACCAUGAUCCAGCCAUGCCGCGUGUGUGAAGAAGGUCUUCGGAUUGUAAAGCACUUUAAUUUGGGAGGAAGUGCAGUAGGUUAAUACACUGACGUUUUGACGUUACCAACAGAAUAAGCACCGGCUAACUCUGUGCCAGCAGCCGCCGUAAUACAGAGGGUGAGAGCGUUAAUAGGAAGUACUGGCGGUAAAGAGGGCGUAGGUGGUUCAGUAAGAAGGGUGUGAAAUCCCCGGGCUUAACCUGGGGACUGCUUUCAUAACUGCUGGGGUAGAGUAGGGUAGAGGGUAGUGGAAUUUCCUGUGUAGCGGUGGGAUGAGUAGAUAUAGGUAGGAACACCAGUGGCGAAGGCGACUACCUGGACUGAUACUGACACUGAGGUGCGAAAGCGUGGGGGGCAAACA
This 422-nucleotide ribosomal RNA is filed under the name uncultured bacterium. Its description in RNAcentral is "partial 16S ribosomal RNA". It matches the Rfam family "Bacterial small subunit ribosomal RNA", at positions 360 to 774 of the family's 1533-position model. The record is from RNAcentral.